RNAcentral lists this ribosomal RNA (243 nucleotides) under uncultured bacterium. RNAcentral's name for it is "partial 16S ribosomal RNA". It matches the Rfam family "Bacterial small subunit ribosomal RNA", at positions 976 to 1218 of the family's 1533-position model. The record is from RNAcentral.
UGGCCUUGACAUAGUAAGAACUUUCCAGAGAUGGAUUGGUGCCUUCGGGAACUUACAUACAGGUGCUGCAUGGCUGUCGUCAGCUCGUGUCGUGAGAUGUUGGGUUAAGUCCCGCAACGAGCGCAACCCUUUUCCUUAUUUGCCAGCGAGUAAUGUCGGGAACUUUAAGGAUACUGCCAGUGACAAACUGGAGGAAGGCGGGGACGACGUCAAGUCAUCAUGGCCCUUACGGCCAGGGCUACA